AUACAUGCAAGUAGAACGCUGAAGAGAGGAGCUUGCUCUUCUUGGAUGAGUUGCGAACGGGUGAGUAACGCGUAGGUAACCUGCCUUGUAGCGGGGGAUAACUAUUGGAGACGAUAGCUAAUACCGCAUAACAAUGGGUGACACAUGUCAUUUAUUUGAAAGGGGCAAUUGCUCCACUACAAGAUGGACCUGCGUUGUAUUAGCUAGUAGGUGAGGUAACGGCUCACCUAGGCGACGAUACAUAGCCGACCUGAGAGGGUGAUCGGCCACACUGGGACUGAGACACGGCCCAGACUCCUACGGGAGGCAGCAGUAGGGAAUCUUCGGCAAUGGGGGCAACCCUGACCGAGCAACGCCGCGUGAGUGAAGAAGGUUUUCGGAUCGUAAAGCUCUGUUGUAAGUCAAGAACGAGUGUGGGAGUGGAAAGUUCACACUGUGACGGUAGCUUACCAGAAAGGGACGGCUAACUACGUGCCAGCAGCCGCGGUAAUACGUAGGUCCCGAGCGUUGUCCGGAUUUAUUGGGCGUAAAGCGAGCGCAGGCGGUUUGAUAAGUCUGAAGUUAAAGGCUGUGGCUCAACCAUAGUUCGCUUUGGAAACUGUCAAACUUGAGUGCAGAAGGGGAGAGUGGAAUUCCAUGUGUAGCGGUGAAAUGCGUAGAUAUAUGGAGGAACACCGGUGGCGAAAGCGGCUCUCUGGUCUGUAACUGACGCUGAGGCUCGAAAGCGUGGGGAGCGAACAGGAUUAGAUACCCUGGUAGUCCACGCCGUAAACGAUGAGUGCUAGGUGUUGGAUCCUCUCCGGGAUUCAGUGCCGCAGCUAACGCAUUAAGCACUCCGCCUGGGGAGUACG
RNAcentral lists this ribosomal RNA (851 nucleotides) under uncultured Streptococcus sp. RNAcentral describes it as "bacterial SSU rRNA". It matches the Rfam family "Bacterial small subunit ribosomal RNA", at positions 51 to 884 of the family's 1533-position model. The record is from RNAcentral. Lineage: Bacteria; Bacillati; Bacillota; Bacilli; Lactobacillales; Streptococcaceae.